UUGAACGCUGGCGGCAGGCCUAACACAUGCAAGUCGAGCGGAUGAAGGGAGCUUGCUCCUGGAUUCAGCGGCGGACGGGUGAGUAAUGCCUAGGAAUCUGCCUGGUAGUGGGGGAUAACGUCCGGAAACGGGCGCUAAUACCGCAUACGUCCUGAGGGAGAAAGUGGGGGAUCUUCGGACCUCACGCUAUCAGAUGAGCCUAGGUCGGAUUAGCUAGUUGGUGGGGUAAAGGCCUACCAAGGCGACGAUCCGUAACUGGUCUGAGAGGAUGAUCAGUCACACUGGAACUGAGACACGGUCCAGACUCCUACGGGAGGCAGCAGUGGGGAAUAUUGGACAAUGGGCGAAAGCCUGACCCAGCCAUGCCGCGUGUGUGAAGAAGGUCUUCGGAUUGUAAAGCACUUUAAGUUGGGAGGAAGGGCAGUAAGUUAAUACCUUGCUGUUUUGACGUUACCAACAGAAUAAGCACCGGCUAACUUCGUG
Molecule: ribosomal RNA, 483 nt
Filed under: uncultured bacterium
Lineage: Bacteria
Description: partial 16S ribosomal RNA
Rfam family: Bacterial small subunit ribosomal RNA
Source: RNAcentral